This 660-nucleotide ribosomal RNA is filed under the name uncultured bacterium. Its description in RNAcentral is "bacterial SSU rRNA". It matches the Rfam family "Bacterial small subunit ribosomal RNA", at positions 94 to 788 of the family's 1533-position model. The record is from RNAcentral.
AGUGGCGGACGGGUGAGUAACGCGUGAGAAUCUGCCUUGGGGUCGGGGACAACCACUGGAAACGGUGGCUAAUACCGGAUAAGCCGAUUGGUGAAAGAUUUAUUGCCCGAACAGGAGCUCGCGUCUGAUUAGCUAGUUGGUGAGGUAAGAGCUCACCAAGGCAGCGAUCAGUAGCUGGUCUGAGAGGACGAUCAGCCACACUGGGACUGAGACACGGCCCAGACUCCUACGGGAGGCAGCAGUGGGGAAUUUUCCGCAAUGGGCGAAAGCCUGACGGAGCAAGACCGCGUGAGGGAGGAAGGCUCUUGGGUUGUAAACCUCUUUUCUCAGGGAAGAAGCUCUGACGGUACCUGAGGAAUCAGCCUCGGCUAACUCCGUGCCAGCAGCCGCGGUAAUACGGAGGAGGCAAGCGUUAUCCGGAAUUAUUGGGCGUAAAGCGUCCGCAGGUGGCGAUUCAAGUCUGCUGUCAAAGCACGGGGCUUAACUCCGUAAAGGCAGUGGAAACUGAAUAGCUAGAGUGCCGUAGGGGUAGAGGGAAUUCCCGGUGUAGCGGUGAAAUGCGUAGAGAUCGGGAAGAACAUCGGUGGCGAAAGCGCUCUACUGGACGGCAACUGACACUCAGGGACGAAAGCUAGGGGAGCGAAUGGGAUUAGAUACCCC